This 215-nucleotide unclassified non-coding RNA is filed under the name Hevea brasiliensis (rubber tree). The record is from RNAcentral. Lineage: Eukaryota; Viridiplantae; Streptophyta; Magnoliopsida; Malpighiales; Euphorbiaceae.
GUAGAAUGCCAAAAAGAAAUUGUUCCAAAUGGGAGAUCUGAAAUCUUGGGAGUACAGUUUCAAAAACCAUAAUCAACCACUCGGAACAAAAAUCAUUACAUAUGCCUUGAAAGCAUCUCUUAGGUCACCAAAAAACUAAUAUGAUGGCUCACUUUCACAAGGGUUGUGAUAAUACACAAAUAGAUUCCACUACAUAGUAUAACAAAUUUUACAAC